This 456-nucleotide ribosomal RNA is filed under the name uncultured bacterium. Its description in RNAcentral is "SSU rRNA". It matches the Rfam family "Bacterial small subunit ribosomal RNA", at positions 26 to 518 of the family's 1533-position model. The record is from RNAcentral.
AGGACGAACGCUGGCGGCGUGCUUAACACAUGCAAGUCGAGCGGUAAGGCCACUUCGGUGGUACACGAGCGGCGGACGGCUGAGUAACACGUAGGAACGUACCCCAAAGUGAGGCAUAAGCACCAGAAAUGGUGUCUAAUACCGCAUGUGGCCUAACAGGCUAAAGCUCCGGCGCUUUGGGAACGGCCUGCGCAUGAUUAGCUUGUUGGUGAGGUAAAAGCUCACCAAGGCAGUGAUCAUUAGCUGGUCUGAGAGGAUGACCAGCCAGACUGGGACUGAGAACGGCCCAGACUCCUACGGGAGGCAGCAGUAGGGAAUUUUCCACAAUGGGCGAAAGCCUGAUGGAGCAACGCCGCGUGCAGGAUGAAGGCUCUAGGGUCGUAAACUGCUUUUAUCUGUGACGAAUAUGACGGUAGCAGAUGAAUAAGGAUCGGCUAACUCCGUGCCAGCAGCCGC